This is a long non-coding RNA of Neomonachus schauinslandi (Hawaiian monk seal), 262 nucleotides long. RefSeq lists it as uncharacterized. NCBI's taxonomy places the organism in Eukaryota, Metazoa, Chordata, Mammalia, Carnivora, Phocidae. The record is from RefSeq and is a predicted model, not a curated record. The transcript has 3 exons.
CUCUCGUUCCGAGGGAAGAGAAGGAACCGUCUGCACAAACGUCUAGUGAUACGGAUGGAACUGUCGACGACGCAAAGGAAAUGAGGCCAGGAGUGAGGGCCUGGGUUCUCACCGUGAGUGGAAUAUGGAUGAUGGGAGGCCGGUGCCCAGGCGGGGGCGGUUCCUCUGGCUGCUCGAUAAACAACGGUGCUGUGGAUCCUGGCUCAUACUCAAUCUCAGUUUCCAGGUUCUGAAGGUCUGAAUACCUGAAUCUUGCGACAUG